CGAACGCUGGCGGCGUGCUUAACACAUGCAAGUCGAACGGUGAAGCGCCUUCCUUUUUGGUGGGUGUGGAUGAGUGGCGAACGGGUGAGUAACACGUGAGUAACCUGCCCCCUUCUUCUGGAUAACCGCAUGAAAGUGUGGCUAAUACGGGAUAUUCUGGGUCUGUCGCAUGAUGGGUCUGGGAAAGAUAUUGUUUCGGUGGGGGAUGGGCUCGCGGCCUAUCAGCUUGUUGGUGGGGUGAUGGCCUACCAAGGCGGUGACGGGGGGCCGGCCUGGGAGGGUGGCCGGUCACACUGGGACUGAGCCACGGCCCAGACUCCUACGGGAGGCAGCAGUGGGGAAUAUUGCACAAUGGGCGCAAGCCUGAUGCAGCGACGCCGCGUGAGGGAUGGAGGCCUUCGGGUUGUGAACCUCUUUCGCCAGUGAAGCAGGCCUGCCUCGUUUGUGGGUGGGUUGACGGUAGCUGGAGAAGAAGCGCCGGCUAACUACGUG
This 492-nucleotide ribosomal RNA is filed under the name uncultured bacterium. RNAcentral's name for it is "partial 16S ribosomal RNA". It matches the Rfam family "Bacterial small subunit ribosomal RNA", at positions 30 to 507 of the family's 1533-position model. The record is from RNAcentral.